Small nucleolar RNA from Myotis lucifugus (little brown bat), 71 nucleotides. Ensembl annotates it as small nucleolar RNA SNORD56. NCBI's taxonomy places the organism in Eukaryota, Metazoa, Chordata, Mammalia, Chiroptera, Vespertilionidae. The record is from Ensembl.
AUGCAAUGAUGUUAACAUUUUGCGUCAACAGCAGCUCACCUAGUGAGUGUUGAUACUUUGGGUCUGAGUGG